CCGGAGCUGGACGUGGGCGGCGGCGGGGCCUGAGGUCUGGGGCUCGGGCGGUGGGCGCUGCUCUGGCCGGCGCGCGUGGGCCCCGGCGAGGCGGCGCUGCAGGAGCUUUGCGGGCAGCUGGAGCGCUACCUGGGCGCGGCGGCCCACGGCUGUGGCGGCGCCACCGUGCGCGACGCUCUCUUCGCGGCUAAGGGCCGCGCGGCCGACUGCGAGAGCCCGCGCGAGUUUCGGGAGCGGGCCCUGCGCGCCUGAUGGGUCGAGGCGGACGCGCGGCUGCGUCAGGUAAGCGAGGCCGGGCCGCCGGCGUUUGACCGCGCUUGGGUGGCCUGGGACCCUGUGGGAGGCUUCCCCGGCGCCGAGAGCCCUGGCUGACGGCUGAUGGGGAGGAGCCGGCGGGCGGAGAAGGCCACGGGCUCCCCAGUACCCUCACCUGCGCGGGAUCGCUGCGGGAAACCAGGGGGAGCUUCGGCAGGGCCUGCAGAGAGGACAAGCGAAGUUAAGAGCCUAGUGUACUUGCCGCUGGGAGCUGGGCUAGGCCCCCAACCUUUGCCCUGAAGAUGCUGGCAGAGCAGGAUGUUGUAACGGGAAAUGUCAGAAAUACUGCAAGCAAACUGAAAACAACCCAUCCAUGUAGGAAAGAAUAACACGGACUACACGUUAUUCAAGGACACGGAAAAGCCAACACCAUGGUAGCAUUAAUGAAAGUUUACCAAGAGGAAGAUGAAGCCUACCAGGAAUUAGUUACCGUGGCAACCACGUUCUUCCAGUACUUAUUGCGGCCAUUUAGGGCUAUGCGAGAAGUUGCAACUUUAUAAGUCCUUGGAUGAGGAUGACCUAGGUCCUAGAAGGGUAGUUGCCCUGGAGAAAGAAGCUGAAGAAUGGACCAGACGGGCUGGAGAAGCUGUCGUCUCUAUUCAAGAUAUCACAGUGAAUUAUUUUAAGGAGACAGUAAAAGCAUUAGCAGGAGUUUCUGAUAUAUUGCACAGAAUCAACAAGAUAUAAAGCAGAAUGAUGAUCCUGGUUUUUUGGUCAAACUAUCCAUAUGAGCCUGUCUGUCUAGCUAGUCAUAGAAACAAUAUGGAAGCAAGUGUGCCAAAAUAUAAGAAGCAGUUGCCUCAACUAGGAAUGCAAAAAGAAAUGGAACAGGAUGUGAAGAGACUUGGCCAGGCUGCCUGGGCCACAGCAAUUCCCAGGUUGGAAAAACUUAAGCUAAUGCUAGCUCAAGAGACUCUGCAACUCAUGAGAGCGAAAGAAUUGUAUUUAAAUUGCAAAAGAGCUGAAAUUCAGGGAAAGAUGGAAGAUCUUCCAGAACAAGAAAAAAAUAUAAAUGUUGUAGAUGAAUUAGAAAUACAAUUUUAUGAAAUUCAGUUAGAACUAUAUGAAGUUAAAUUUGAGAUAUUAAAAAACAAAGAAAUACUGCUUACUACACAGUUGGACUCUCUUGAAAGACUUAUAAAAGAUGAAAUUUAGAAUCAAGUUCAAAACAAAAAACUCUUUGGAAUUUUGAUUGUGAUUUUGCUUAAAAUUAGAGAUUACUUUGGGGAGAAUAGUGGUCUUUGCAAUUUUGAAUCUUCCUACCCAAGAACUUGAAAAACAGGAUGAAGUUGUCUAUUACGAUCCAUGUGAAAGUCCAGAGGAACUUAGUCAUUGACUGUGGUGGGGCUGCAGGACGAUAAGAAUUCGGAAGUGAAAGAACUCAGAAGGCAGUGCCAGCAGCUGGAGUCUAUUAAACGGGGCAGGAUCUGUGUCAAAAGAGCUUCUCUCCAGAGUAGAAAGGAUCAGUGCAAAGAAAAUCAUUGGCUCAGAUUGCAACAGGCUGAAGAAAGCAUAAGAUAUUCUCGUCAGCAUCACAGUAUUCAGAUGAAAAGAGACAAGAUAAAAAGGAGCAAAAGAAAAAAGAAUGGGUCAACCAAGAACGUCAAACACUCCAACGAUUGAGAGCAUUUAAAGAUAGAAAUAAUGAGAGAGAUUGUCUCUCUUGAAGUUCUCAGUGCCUGUGCAUUGCUGCCACUACACAGCUAGUAUCAUGACAGCAGCUUCAGAACCAGAGCUGGCUUCCAGGCAAGGCUGGGUGGGGAAGAAAGAGAAAAACAAAAGAAUUAUUUCUCUAUGCCGAGACCAGCUCGGUCAGGGAGACCCUAACCUAGCGGUGCUAGAGGAAUUAAAGACAUAGACACAGAAAUAUAGAGGUGUGAAGUGGGAAAUCAGGGGUCUCACAGCCUUCAGAGCUCAGCCACAAACAGAGAUUUACCCACGUAUUUAUUAACAGCAAGCCAGUCAUUAGCAUUGUUUCUAUAGAUAUUAAAUUAACUAAAAGUAUCCCUUAUGGGAAACGAAGGGAUGGGCCGAAUUAAAGGAAUAGGUUGGGCUAGUUAACUGCAGCAGGAGCAUGUCCUUAAGGCACAGAUCACUCAUGCUAUUGUUUGUGGUUUAAGAAUGCCUUUAAGCGGUUUUCCACCCCGGGCAGGCCAGGUGUUCUUUGCCCUCAUUCCAGUAAACCCACAACCUUCCAGUAUGGGUGUUAGGGCCAUUAUGAACAUGUUACAGUGCUGCAGAGAUUUUAUUUAUGGCCAGUUUAUGGCCAGAUUUUGGGGGGCCUGCUCCCAACACUCUACAUAUGCUCCAUCUUGCAGAGGCUUCAUUCUUGGUUCUCUAGCUAAAAACAGUAGAAAUUUUGCACACCUGGGUUAGAAAAAAAAAAAAUAGCCAUUAAACCCACCCCUGUUACAGGUCACUAUUGGUAUUUUGAUUUUGCCUUCAAUCCAUCUGUUAUUGUUUACUUUUAAGAGUCCUUGAUAGUUGCUUUUUAUGUCCAGAGUUUUAAUUUCAGUCAGAAAGAGAAAUAGGCCUUGGUGAGCAUGCUUUGUCUUGGCUGGUGCCAGAAGUCAGUACUCAAAUAUUUUUAAAAUAAUUUUUAGUUGAAUAACAAGUUAGACCUGUGUUUAGCUUUCUCAUUGUUUUCCUAAAAAUAGAAGAAAAGGUUUUAAAUACUUUAACCACGAAAUAAUUUAAAGCAGGUUUAAAAUAAACUCCUUCAUUUUGCCUGUUCUAUUACUCUGUUCUCACACUGCUAAUAAAGACAUACCCAAGACUGGUAAUUUAUAAAGUAAAGAGGUUUAAUUGACUCACAGUUCCACAUGGCUGGGGAGGCCUCCCAAUCAUGGCAGAAGGUGAAUGAGGAGCAAAGUCACAUCUUACAUGGUGGCAGGCAAGAGAGAGAGCAUGUGUGCAGGGGAAUUCCCCUUUAUAAAACCAUCCAAUCUCAUGAGACUUAUGCAGUCUCAUGGGAGCAGCAUGAGAAAGACUCACCUCCGUGAUUCAGUUACCUCCCACUGUGUCCCUGCCACAACAUGUGGGAAUUGUGGGAACUAAAAAUCAAGAUGAGAUUUGGGUAGGAACACAGUCAAACCAUAUCUCCUAUAUACAUUCACACUAGCAUUUUAGUUUUAGAACUAGUUCUAUGUUACUAUCUGAAUUAAUUUUUCCACAAUUUUGUAAGGAAAAAUAAUGCGUUCUUUGAAUUUCAUGUGUAAAUGAUAUUUUUAGUUUUGUGUCAUUUUGUCAAAUAAAUUCUGAAAAUCUUUGUAUUGACAGUGUGUUAUCUCUGCAUAACCAUAUAUGUAUAAGAGUGCUCAAUAAAAAGAAUAAAGAGG
RNAcentral lists this long non-coding RNA (3653 nucleotides) under Homo sapiens (human). Its description in RNAcentral is "non-protein coding lnc-APBA2-1:2". The record is from RNAcentral. Lineage: Eukaryota; Metazoa; Chordata; Mammalia; Primates; Hominidae.